Molecule: long non-coding RNA, 2181 nt
Organism: Astatotilapia calliptera (eastern happy)
Lineage: Eukaryota; Metazoa; Chordata; Actinopteri; Cichliformes; Cichlidae
Source: Ensembl
AACAAAGGAAAGGCAGGUGCUGGCUGUUAAUCUGGAACAAGAAAAUGGAAGGGAGAAUGACAAAGAGGAGAAGAUGUACCAAAUUGAGUGGGUGUGCUAAUUACUAACCACUCACUACCAGAAACAUCAAAGCACGAGAGACAAUAGGAGACAACAGGGACUAUUUUAAAUCCAACUGUGCUUCUGAACCCCCCUACGCACCACCAGUCCACCAACACAUACACACACAGACACACACACAGAAUAUUACGAUGGCUGAGAGCAUAAUUAAAACGCCUCAAGGCAGUUGGGAAGGUGUUUCAGUCGGGGUGUGCGUGUGAGUGUCUUUGCAUCGCAGACAUCGUGGGAUCAUAUCAUCAUAGCUUACCUUUGCAGUAUGUCUGCCUACCCCUAAUCCACCCUGUGUAGUAUCUGUGGUUGUAUUUCUUGUCUGUUUGUUCAUUUAUACCUUCUUUGAGUGGUAACAACAGCAGUGGAGACUGAGCGAAAGAGAGAGGGGCAAAGUGAAACAGAACUCCAGAGGAGGAAAGAGAUGCCACAACUGCAUGCCCUAACCUCCGUGAAUAAGAAAUAAUAUAAUAUAGCUAUGGAAAUUGUUACACCCCGGCCUAGGCAACCGGCGUGAAACGCAGGAAAAUAAAAAUAAGGAAAAAAACACGACAAAAAAACCCACUAAGGCUCUCCACCAAAUUCCCAAAAAGGAAGUGUCUCAAAACGAAAGUAUUGACAAAACCCAUUUACAGCUAUUUAAAACAAACUAUUUAUUUACAACACGGGGAAAGAUCGCAACCAUGACAUACUGAAACACUUAAAUACAUAGAAGGAGCAAUCAGGGAAUGGACCACAGGAGGGAAACACAGCUGGGGCAAAUUAGACCUGAUGAGACAAGGAAACGUAAACUGAACACACUAAGAUAACACAGACUUUCAAAGUAAAGCAGGAAAUACAUGACAGUCACGCAAAAAAACAAAAAACUGACAACACCGAAAUGUAACAUUUCCCCCCCACCCAAAAAUCAACCAUGUAACCCCAAGUGAAAAGUUUGAUCCAGACAGAUGAAGCCGAUGAAGGCUGGAGCGGUCCCACGGACCCUCCAGCAGACGAUGAAGGCUGGAGCGGCCCCUCGGACCCUCCAGCGAAGGCGGAUGAAGGCUGGAGCGGUCCCUCGGACCCUCCAGCAGACGACAAAGGCUAGGGCGGUCCCCGGACCCCCCAGCGAAGGCAAUCCCGGACGAGUCCCCAUAUGUUACACCCUAGCCUAAGCAACUGGCGUGCAACGCAGGAAAAUAAAAAUAAGGAAAAAACACACGACAAAAAAACCCACUAAGGCUCUCCACCAAAUUCCCAAAACGGAAGUGUCUCAAAACGAAAGUAUUGACAAAACCCAUUUACAGCUAUUUACAACAAACUAUUUAUUUACAACACAGGGGGAGAUCACGACCAUGACAUACUGAAACACAAGGCUUAAAUACAUAGAAGGAGCAAUCAGGGAAUGGACCACAGGAGGGAAACACAGCUGGGGCAAAUUAGACCUGACGAGACAAGGAAACGUAAACUGAACACACUAAGAUAACACAGACUUUCAAAGUAAAGCAGGAAAUACAUGACAGUCACGCAAAAAAACAAAAAACUGACAACACCGAAACGUAACAAAAUAUAAAAAUCAAUGAAUAUAAAUGUAAUUACCAAACGACUUUAUUUCCAUGUGUCCACUCUUAACUUUGUGAAAAAAAAACCCUCCACAGCACUGCUUUUGUUAACGACUCCUUAGAUUAUCUUCAGGUUUCUGCUUUUCAUAAACUGUUACUAAACACUAUCUUGCCAAAAGUAUUUCAGGUGUUCGAGUCACUUCCAUGACAACAGGAAGCGAUGCACCUGGGCAUGCAGACUGCUUUAACAGACAUUUGGGAAAAAGUGUGUUGUUCUCAGGAGCUCAGCGGUACCAUGAUAGUCAUAAAAUUUCCUCACUAUUAAAUAAUGAAGCACAGUGCGCAGAGGUCAACAACAUUCUACAGAGACAGUUGAUACAGACAUCCAAACUUUAUGUGGUCUUCAGAUUAGCUCAAGAACAGUUCAAGAGAGCUUCACUGAAUGGGUUCCCAUAGCUGAGCAGCUGCAUCCAAACCUUUCAUCACCGAGUACAAUGCCAACCAAUGCAUGCAGUGGUGCAAGGCACACCAU